This 405-nucleotide long non-coding RNA is filed under the name Jatropha curcas. Its description in RNAcentral is "long non-coding RNA (JCUR_LNC002584)". Lineage: Eukaryota; Viridiplantae; Streptophyta; Magnoliopsida; Malpighiales; Euphorbiaceae. The record is from RNAcentral.
UAUCAGAGCCGGCCCUGUGCCCUCUGGCCGGUGGUGGGGCAAACCUCAGCGAGGACGCUGAGUCCCCAAGGGGGGGUGUAUGUGGCAAGGCCAGCACACCUUAGGCAAAUCCCACAUCGGUUAAGGACGGGGUAAACGAUCUAUACAUAAGAGGGGUAGCUUCUAACUUGGUUAGCGCGCUUUUGGGCGGGUUGCAAAGCCUGCCUGAGGGACAAAUCCGUGAGGGUUGCAAAGCCUAAAGCGGACAAUACUGACCAGGUCAGGGCUAUAACAAGGGGGGGUGUGCUGGCCUUCUAACUUGGUUAGCGCGCUUUUGGGAGGGUUGCAAAGCUUGCCUGAGGGACAAAUCCGUGAGGGUUGCAAAGCCUAAAGCGGACAAUACUGACCAGGUCAGGGCUAUGACAC